RNAcentral lists this ribosomal RNA (1381 nucleotides) under uncultured bacterium. Its description in RNAcentral is "bacterial SSU rRNA". It matches the Rfam family "Bacterial small subunit ribosomal RNA". The record is from RNAcentral.
UGCAGCCGAGCGGUAUGGAUAGCUUGCUAUCCAGAGAGCGGCGUACGGGUGCGUAACACGUGUGCAACCUGCCUUUAUCUGGGGGAUAGCCUUUCGAAAGGAAGAUUAAUACCCCAUAAUAUGGUGUCCGGCAUCGGUCGCCAUUGAAAGCCUCGGCGGAUAGAGAUGGGCACGCGCAAGAUUAGAUAGUUGGCGGGGUAACGGCCCACCAAGUCGAUGAUCUUUAGGGGUCCUGAGAGGGAGAUCCCCCACACUGGUACUGAGACACGGACCAGACUCCUACGGGAGGCAGCAGUGAGGAAUAUUGGACAAUGGGUGGAAGCCUGAUCCAGCCAUCCCGCGUGAAGGAUGACGGUCCUAUGGAUUGUAAACUUCUUUUGUACAGGGAUAAACCUGCCCUCGUGAGGGCAGCUGAAAGUACUGUACGAAUAAGCACCGGCUAACUCCGUGCCAGCAGCCGCGGUAAUACGGAGGGUGCGAGCGUUAUCCGGAUUUAUUGGGUUUAAAGGGUCCGUAGGCGGGCCUGUAAGUCAGUGGUGAAAUCUCAUAGCUUAACUAUGAAACUGCCAUUGAUACUGCAGGCCUUGAGUAAAUUUGAAGUGGCUGGAAUAAGUAGUGUAGCGGUGAAAUGCAUAGAUAUUACUUAGAACACCGAUUGCGAAGGCAGGUCACUAAGAUUUAACUGACGCUGAUGGACGAAAGCGUGGGGAGCGAACAGGAUUAGAUACCCUGGUAGUCCACGCCGUAAACGAUGCUAACUCGUUUUUGGAUCUUCGGGUUCAGAGACCAAGCGAAAGUGAUAAGUUAGCCACCUGGAGAGUACGUCCGCAAGGAUGAAACUCAAAGGAAUUGACGGGGGCCCGCACAAGCGGUGGAUUAUGUGGUUUAAUUCGAUGAUACGCGAGGAACCUUACCAAGACUUAAAUGGGAAUUGACAGAUUUAGAAAUAGAUCCUCCUUCGGGCAAUUUUCAAGGUGCUGCAUGGUUGUCGUCAGCUCGUGCCGUGAGGUGUUAGGUUAAGUCCUGCAACGAGCGCAACCCCUGCCAACAGUUGCCAUCAUUCAGUUGGGGACUCUGUUGGGACUGCCUACGCAAGUAGAGAGGAAGGUGGGGAUGACGUCAAAUCAUCACGGCCCUUACGUCUUGGGCCACACACGUAAUACAAUGGCCGGUACAGAGGGCAGCUACCUGGUGACAGGAUGCGAAUCUCGAAAGCCGGUCUCAGUUCGGAUUGGAGUCUGCAACUCGACUCUAUGAAGCUGGAAUCGCUAGUAAUCGCGCAUCAGCCAUGGCGCGGUGAAUACGUUCCCGGGCCUUGUACACACCGCCCGUCAAGCCAUGGAAGUCUGGGGUACCUGAAGUCGGUGACCGUAAUAGGAGC